AUUGAACGCUGGCGGCAGGCCUAACACAUGCAAGUCGAACGAGUGGCGGACGGGUGAGUAAUGUCUGGGAAACUGCCCGAUGGAGGGGGAUAACUACUGGAAACGGUAGCUAAUACCGCAUACCAUCGGAUGUGCCCAGAUGGGAUUAGCUAGUAGGUGGGGUAACGGCUCACCUAGGCGACGAUCCCUAGCUGGUCUGAGAGGAUGACCAGCCACAAGGGACCUAAGAGAGGGUCCAGACUCCAACGGGAGGCAGUAGUGGGGAGUAUUGCACAAUGGGCGCAAGCCUGAUGCAGCAGCGCCGCGUGCGUGAUGACGGCCUUCGGGUUGUAAACGGCUUUCAGCCAUGACGCGGUAGUGGCAGAAGAAGCACCGGCUAACUACGUGCCAGCCGCCGCGGUAAUUC
RNAcentral lists this ribosomal RNA (406 nucleotides) under uncultured bacterium. RNAcentral's name for it is "partial 16S ribosomal RNA". It matches the Rfam family "Bacterial small subunit ribosomal RNA", at positions 30 to 526 of the family's 1533-position model. The record is from RNAcentral.